This 143-nucleotide ribosomal RNA is filed under the name Poeciliopsis fasciata (San Jeronimo livebearer). RNAcentral describes it as "partial 16S ribosomal RNA". The record is from RNAcentral. Lineage: Eukaryota; Metazoa; Chordata; Actinopteri; Cyprinodontiformes; Poeciliidae.
GUUUCUAUCUAUGAAGUGUUUUCUUCCAGUACGAAAGGAUCGAAGAAAAAGGGCCCAUGCUUAAAGUAAGCCCUACCCCCACCUAAUGAAAACAACUUAAUUAGGCAAAGUGACACACUGCCUCUCCGCCGAAAAUAACGGCU